RNAcentral lists this ribosomal RNA (2743 nucleotides) under Prunus persica (peach). RNAcentral describes it as "eukaryotic LSU rRNA". The stretch from base 751 to 2743 matches the Rfam family "Eukaryotic large subunit ribosomal RNA". Lineage: Eukaryota; Viridiplantae; Streptophyta; Magnoliopsida; Rosales; Rosaceae. The record is from RNAcentral.
CAUAACUCACUCAUAUGAUAUCGAAUUGAGACACACCAUAUAUGGCUGAAAAGAAGACAUCCAGAGCUUUCAAAAGAGUGGUUGUACGCAAUUUUUGGAGGUCAGGAAGAUGUCCAAAUCACAUUCGAAAUGAGGAUCACAUGCAGUUUCAUGGAGGUUUUAGGAAACUUAGUUUAAUUACCUUUUCUAGUUAGGAACUGACUUGGAAAUCAAGUCUUUGUGAAAGGCCACUUGCUUAGGCCCAUUCUAACUAGCUUUCAGGUUCUUUUAAGAGGGGAGGUCAUAGGACCUCAAGAGAUAUACCAGAAUUCAGACUUCAACCAUGGAGCAAGGAAGAGCGACCGUGCCUCUAAACUCUAAGGGUUUUUCUUAUCUCUUUCUCCAUGUUUUAUUUUUGCUUUGUAACCAUGAUUAUGAGUAACUAAUUUUCUUUUACUAAGACACAAUGUAACCAUUUUCUAAUUAUUCAAAGCUUAGUUAUGUCAUGCUAUUAGAAUUUCCAUGUUGUUGAAAUUUAAUCACUGUGCCUAUUUUCUGAACUAAUGAUCUUGAUGCUUAGCUACAAUCUAGGGUUUUGGUUAAGUAAUUUGAUGCAUGUUAGGGUAUACGCCAUGCCUAAUACGAGUUUUGCUUUUUGUGAUUAAAUUCAUGAAUGCGCCUAAGGUAAACACCAUACUCUUAGGGGUUUGUGUGAUUGUGUCAAGUUCUCAUUGAACCUAAGGUCUUUUUAUAUGUUUAUAUUUAUGACUCAUGCCAAGGAUAAAUUGCGUGUAAGAAGAAGUAGUAAUUGCUGUGAAAAGAGUUAAUCAUAUUUUUGGAGAACUAAUCAUCAACAUAACUUGGGAAUUUUGAUAGUAUGCAUGCUAAGGUUUGGAUAAGAGGAAUUAUGGUGAAAUUGUUGUCCUGGUAAGCUUCUUUAAAAUCUUUCACAAACUUAUUUAGUUCACGUUUUUCUUCGUUAUGUCUUUUAAUUUUCUUGUUUUCAACGUUCUUUUAAAGAAAAUCCUUCAAAACCAACUCUCAAAACUCCUUUAUUAAGUUUUAGUUGAGUCAUUAGUUUUAAGUCUAUUAAUUAGGGUGUCUAGAGUAAUUUAGGAUUUAAAUUAGUUUAUAAUUCACAACAACUUGAGAAUUUAUUCAGUCUCUGUGGGAACGACCUUGUACUUGCCUUGGCUAUAUUGCAUUAACCUUGUACUUGCCUUGGCAAUAUUGCAUUAACCUAUCUGAUAGCGCGUCUCGCGCGAACUUAGAAAGGGAAUCGGGUUAAAAUUCCUGAACCAGGACGUGGUGGUUGACGGCAACGUUAGGGAGUCCGGAGACGUCGGUGGGGGCCUCGGGAAGAAUUAUCUUUUCUGUUUAACAGCCUGCCCACCCUGGAAACAGCUCAGCUGGAGGUAGGGUCCAGCGGCUGGAAGAGCACCGCACGUCACAUGGUGUCCGGUGCGCCCCCGACAACCCUUGAAAAUCCGGAGGACCGAGUGUCAUUCAUGCUCGGUCGUACUCAUAACCGCAUCAGGUCUCCAAGGUGAACAGCCUCUAGUCAAUGGAACAAUGUAGGCAAGGAAAGUCGGCAAAAUGGAUCUGUAACCUCGAGAAAAGGAUUGGGUCUGAGGGCUGGGCACGGGGGUCUCAGUCCCGAACCCGGUCGGUGGACUGCUCAAGCUGCUCCAGCUGCGAAAGUGGGUCGCCGCGUGCCGGUUGGGGGACGAACUGGGAGCAUUCCUUCGGGGACUUUCCCCAGGCGUCAAACAGCCGCCUCAGAACUGGUACGGACAAUGGGAAUCCGACUGUUUAAUUAAAACAAAGCAUUGCGAUUGUGCCUACGGAUGCUAAUGCAAUGUGAUUUCUGCCAAGUGCUCUGAAUGUCAAAGUGAAGAAAUUCAACCAAGCGCGGGUAAACGGCAGGAGUAACUAUGACUCUCUUAAGGUAGCCAAAUGCCUCGUCAUCUAAUUAGUGAAGUGCAUGAAUGGAUUAACGAGAUUCCCAUUGUCCCUGUCUACUAUCUAGCAAACCACAGCCAAGGGAACGGGCUUGGCAUAAUCAGCGGGGAAAGAAGACCCUGUUGAGCUUGACUCUAGUCCGACUUUGUGAAAUGACUUGAGAGGUGUAGUAUAAGUGGGAGCUUCGGCAAAAUUGAAGUACCACUACUUUUAACGUUAUUUUACUUAUUCCGUGAAAUGGAGGCGGGGCAUCGCCCUGCUUUUUGGACCCAAGGCCAGCCUCGCAUUGCCCGAUCCGGGCAGAAGACACUGUCAAGUGGGGAGUUUGGCUGGGGCAGCACAUCUGUUAAAAGAUAACUCAGGUGUCCUAAGAUGAGUUCGACGAGAACAGAAAUCUCGUGUGGAACAAAAGGGUAAAAGCUCGUUUGAUUCUGAUUUCCAAUACGAAUACGAACCGUGAAAGCGUGGCCUAUCGAUCCUGUAGACCUUUGAAAUUUGAAGCUAGAGGUGUCAAAAAAGUUACCGCAGGGAUAACUGGCUUGUGGCAGCCAAGCGUUCAUAGAGACUUUGCUUUUUGAUCCUUCGAUGUCAGCUCUUCCUAUCAUUGUGAAGCAGAAUUCACCAAGUGUUGGAUUGUUCACCCACCAAUAGGGAACGUGAGCUGGGUUUAGACCGUCGUGAGACAUGUUAGUUUUACCCUACUGAUGACAGAAGCAUACAUUGAGAGGGGUGGCAAAGAAGGGAACAAAUGUAUUUGCUCCACAAUCGGGCCAUAGGUAAGGUGACGGUCAGUGCUGUGUCG